GCGGCUGGCGCUCUUCUUCGUCAAGAGCUCCAUGCACCUGGCGCGCUGCCGCUGGGCCAGUGCGCCCCCGCUCUACACGCUCAUCGACGUGCUCAAGUACAGCUACGUGCGGCUUGUGUGCAAGGACGUGCGUGCGCCCAGCCGGCCCGCCGUGGGAAACAGAGACUCGGAGAUCUGAAAGUGGAACAGCAUCAAACACACACAUCACCCAGAAACCUAGAACGUUAGAGCUUGCAAGAAGCUCAAAGAAGCUCAGGCCUAAUCUGAAACCUAUUAACAGAACCCAGUUCCAAUGUAACAAAUGCUUAUUGAGCACCUA
Molecule: small RNA, 319 nt
Filed under: Pan troglodytes (chimpanzee)
Lineage: Eukaryota; Metazoa; Chordata; Mammalia; Primates; Hominidae
Description: processed transcript
Source: RNAcentral